CUGUCUAUGGGAGGGAGCGCCGCGUUGCCAUGGCAGCGAGCAGGUCCGGGCGCCGCUCUGCCCCAGGGAGGAGAGGGGAAGGGGCAGAGGGCGUCUUCCUUCCUUGGUAUUUACGGGUGGGGGUCGGGGUAGGGCACAGGACCUAGCAUUUUGCUAAAUCUUUGGAGGAUACAGGAUGUAUUCAUGUUGGCCCCUGCCUUCACGAGACUUACAGUUAGGCCGGGCGCCCUCGGAAAAUGCAUCUGCUUAUGUCCUGUGUCCUGAGGACUUAGGGGUGAGCCAAAGUUGACAUAGCCCCGACCCACCGGGAGCAGACUUCUUGGGAGGAAUGUGAUUGACACAGCAUUUACAAGGGAGAUGGAUUUCUCAAAGGAAAGCUGUUGUGCAUGCAUUUGUCGGGGAUCUGAUCUGUUCGUGGUCUCAGGAUACCUUCUUUGAGGUGAACAGUGCUUUCUUUGAAAGGAGCUGUGACUUCAAUUAGAUUUUGAAAAAUAAAUGAUCUUGUAGCUGUGGACUUUUAAGUUAGCCUGUUUACAUUGUGUUACUGCAAACGUAUAGAAGCUUGGAGUUGGGUCUAGAAUUCAUCCAGUCUUUUCACACAGAUGAGGAGACAGAAGAAGGGGGAGGAUGAGAAGACUACAGAUAUACUGAGAAGAGUAAGAUCACAGUGGAGUGAGGCUGGAAGGAGCCCAAAGGGAGGCUGCAUAGGGACUGAGGGCAGGCAGCCCCACAUCCCAGGCAGCUGGCCUCCCCCGGAUUGAAGAUUCUGACAGGAGCCCUCUCCAUGCACCUCCAGUCCCUCUCUGAGCACGUCUCAGCUAUUUAUUUGGUACCUAAUAUGUGCUGGACCUUCUGCUUGGUGCUGAGCACACAGGCCCCCAGACUGUGAGGCUCUCAUGCAGUCAUGGUGAUGAUGUGCAAGUAUGGUUUGACAGAGCUGGGAAGCAAAUAUUAUCUUAAAUAAAUCUACUCUUCGGAAGCUUUUCAGGUACUUGUAGAAUUUAUGAGGUUUUGAUAUGUUGACCAGGGACUGAAGAUAGGUUUGGCUUUAAGAUUUGUUGGUAUUGUUCUAGCUAAUGUUGAACAAAUCUUACAGAGCUUUUGGGCAUAAAAUAUUUGUUUUUGACCCUGAUGUUGAGAAGGUAUUUUUAGUUUCAUUAUUUCAUUUCAGUGUUGAAUUGAUUUAUUACCUCUUCAAAUUAUUUUCAUUAUCAAAACCUUCCAGACACAUUGUCCCGCUUUGGUGCCUGUACCACGACUGUGAAUAUGAUUAGGAAGAAGGCAGAUUGGGUUUUGGAAAUUAAGAACUGGUUCUUCAUGGGAUUCUUUGUGAUAAAACUUGGAAGUAAUGAAACAGUCAUUGGUUUCUGUUACCCACAAUUAAGAAUGUAUGUAAAAGAGGUGCUAGGGAGAAGACUAUAUAGUACUUUUAUUUCCUAAUGGAGACAAAUUUUGGGAUACGGAGGAAAAUAUAAAAUGAGAAGGGCAAUACUAUUACAUGGAUUAAAACCCUGAAGAAAAAAUAGUAAUCAUUCAUUCAUUUGACAUGCUCAGUCAUUUCCUGAACAUCUCACUGUGCAAAGAUAUUACUGAAAUAAACAAGACACAACUUUUGCUUUUUAGCAUCUAAAUGAUGAUACUUGGCAGUCAGCUAAUCUUUUAGCAGGAAGAACUGGAAAGAGAAGCGAACAUCUUUAACACAGUCUACAUCAGAAUCUGUUUUCUUAGCUAUUGUCUGCAUAUUGAUGAACAAAGAUGAGCACAUGGAAAGUAGCACUUUAGCUCUUUCUAGUCCUUUUUUUUCUGUUUUCCUUUUAGCAUAAAAAUUAGUUGUUACAUGAGAGGCAAACAUCAUUGAAAUUUCUGGUCUGAAGUCAAAAAAAGCCAAAAAGUACCUUGGGUUUCUACCUUUUUCUUUUUUAUUUCUUGGGUUGCUAGCAGAGCUUGGAGGUUUCUUUGGUCAAAAAGCUACCUCAGUAGAUGAAGCCCUGAAAGCGAAUAGCAGCUCAGACCACCCUCCCUGGGCUUUGUGUUCCUUACCACAAGCCUGUAGACAGUGAGUGAGACAGGCUGGGAAGUGGUGCAGGGACAGGAAGGAGAAGGAAGCUGGGGGCUGGGGCUGCAACCGUAGUUAACGUUAGCAGUUCUAGGAGACAGUACAUUUCAGGGAAUGCUAAAACAACUUACUCUUAAAUUCUGUGUUUAUAAAGCAUAACUUGCCACAUCUAUGUAAGACAUAAAAGCCUGGACCUCCUUCUGGCUACUUGGUCUCUCCCUUUUUCUUUCAUUUACUUUUCUUUUUGCAACCUGUUUGAAUGUGUUUGAGAACCCCCAAAUUGGGGUAUUCCUACUCUAGACUUAUUUACCCUUUUGUUUAACAGCUAUAAACCCACAAGGCAGAAUCUUUAGUUUACUAUCUUUGCACUGUUCAUAGUCAAUGAUUUUUGGUUCAGAAUAGUUGCCACUCUAUUUUUCUAUCAGCAGAUGCCAAAAUUAGACAACCACGAGAACAUCAUGCAGGAAAGACUCAGACCUUAAUCUAAUAUUUUGGAAAAAGGCAGUCAUCAUUAGCAGUUUUUUUUUUCGUUUUGAAAAAAAUUAUGAGAUUUUUGUGCUUUAUUUAUUUUCCUAGAAUGAGUUUAUUAUUGACAACAUCCCCAGCAUUUAACCUUGAUGACAAGAUAGGGAAAAGAUAUAGGAUACUUGGUCUUCUUUAGUUUUUCUGCUAUUUUCUGUUGGUCUUCAUGGGCAAGGCAGAUGGUUACAACUACCAGAUAGAGGCAAUUGGCUACCUGGAUCCUUAUAAUAGAUAAUGAAGGGGAAAUAGGCACCCCUUUUGGUGAUAACAGAUAAUAUUUUGAAGAGAAAGACAAAUGAUUAGAAUCACCAGUGACUGAUCUCUUCUUUUUAUUACCCAAUUAGUCCCAUUUUAUAUUUUAAAAGUGUCACUGUAUACUUCAAGAAUCAGCAUUUCAGAGAUCAUAUGUGUUAGAAUGGGAAAAGCUCAGGCCAGUGGUGCUAAAUAGUCUCUCUGACCAAACAGGGACUUUUGAGUUCUACUGUGCCUCAGUUCUCUUUCCCAGCCCAAGCCUUUUAAAUGUCUCUUUCAUUCUGCCCCCAGUUUAUAUGUUUCUGAAUAAUCUUGGAGCAACGCCUUUAAUCGUGGAAGAAGAGUAGCCAAUGGGACUUUUAAGAAAAUACAUAACUAAAAGGAAAACAACUGGCCAUAAAUGGCAAGGUUAUGGCAUAGGGUUGAAGUGUAGGGAAGACAAAUGUCACGGUGCACCAGGGUGAUCUUUGUCUACUGGUGCCCACCUUGGGUUCAGGGCAAGAUCCCUGUCCAUAUGACUGCCCAAGGGUAUCCCCAGGUAAUGAAUUGGUAUAGCCAAGGCCAAGGUUAUUAUCACAUAGAAUAGAGAGCUUCUCCCUUAGGUCUUGGUGCCGGCUUCUAUGACAGAUCCUUUAAGAAUACUUGGCCUUGGCUGGCAGCACAGGCAGCUUAAUUGUUACUGCAAAAGUAAAGUUAAAGUGGCUUCCUAGAGCAGAAAUUCCUCUUUAGAGAAGGUGGGAACUCUUGAGAAGUUAAAGAAAAAAUUGCCUGUGGCCUGUCAUUUGGCAAUCUGCUGAGAGACUGUUUUAUCUGAAUUCCUAAUUGAAGCCCAAAUUAAACCCAGGGAAAUGUUCACAUGAAAAGCCCCACAAGAAUGAGUUUUCAGAUUCUAUCAGCUCAAAAGAAUCUCAUGUGAAAGUCCUUAACUCAAACAUCUGACACGCUUUUCAUCAGCUGGUCCCUGAGAGUCCUGAGAAAGAGGUUACGCUGCCUUCAAUGUACAGAGAACAACUUGUCUGAGUUAUUACAUACUUUCCUUCCUAGUGAUUCUUGUAACAGAAAUCAGAAUCUACCCAAUUGGAUGAGUGUGUAGGUAUGGGGGAUGGUGGAAAAUAUGAUUACUAAAGGUCCUAUUCUGAAAGGCAAGAAGUGGGAACACUGGGAGAGAAGCCACUUUGUUGCUAAGAUGAUAUGUUUGAUUGGGGGAAAGUUGAAUUUGAGCCAUCACAGGGAGUAGAAAAUGGGACCUGGAGUCCAAGAGCAAGGUAAAGACUGAAGAUUAAAAAAAUGGGGGUGAUGAACAUCAAGUAGACAGCUGAGACAUGAAGGCAAAUUAGAUCAGUGCUAGAAAAUAUAGGAUAAAAAGAAAGGCUGAGAUAGUCUCAUGGCCACAGUCAUGCAUGGAUACUGAGAAGUCCACUGCCUGCUGUGAGCUGCUCACUGACUGGCUCUCUCAUUCUUUCCGUUCACAACGUGGGGCAUGGCAACCUCCUCUGAGCAUGUGGAUUCACCAGUAGAAACCUUCCGUAAAAUGACUCAUUAAACUGCUUGUUGUCUUCCCAUCCAUCACAGGCCAAAACAUGUUCCCAGGCAACCCGAAGUCCUCACCCAAUAAUAACUCAGGAGAAGAUAGCCAGUAAAAGGGUGGUAUCCCAAUUUCCUCUUCCUCCAGCCAUACAAAGGGGCCUGUGAUUAUUUAUUAUGCAGAGACAAAGGAGCAGAGAGUCCCUGAUAUGACUCUGCAAAGCAUUCAUUUGCCCUAUCAUAGUACAUUAAGUGCCUUUACUUCAAAAUUCCCUGCCAGCCCCUCCACACCCCCUUGGUGGGCUCAGCCAUGGCAGCAGAGAUUGGGAGGCAGGUUUCUGGGGAAA
This 4701-nucleotide long non-coding RNA is filed under the name Homo sapiens (human). RNAcentral describes it as "HSALNT0399788". The record is from RNAcentral. Lineage: Eukaryota; Metazoa; Chordata; Mammalia; Primates; Hominidae.